CGUCCUACGGGAGGCAGCAGUAGGGAAUAUUGGACAAUGGGGGAAAGCCUGAUCCAGCAAUGCCGCGUGAGUGAUGAAGGCCUUAGGGUUGUAAAGCUCUUUUACCCGGGAUGAUAAUGACAGUACCGGGAGAAUAAGCCCCGGCUAACUCCGUGCCAGCAGCCGCGGUAAAGGGAA
This 177-nucleotide ribosomal RNA is filed under the name Sphingomonas sp. enrichment culture. RNAcentral describes it as "partial 16S ribosomal RNA". It matches the Rfam family "Bacterial small subunit ribosomal RNA", at positions 335 to 529 of the family's 1533-position model. Lineage: Bacteria; Pseudomonadati; Pseudomonadota; Alphaproteobacteria; Sphingomonadales; Sphingomonadaceae. The record is from RNAcentral.